RNAcentral lists this long non-coding RNA (818 nucleotides) under Carica papaya (papaya). Its description in RNAcentral is "long non-coding RNA (CPAP_LNC000058)". The record is from RNAcentral. Lineage: Eukaryota; Viridiplantae; Streptophyta; Magnoliopsida; Brassicales; Caricaceae.
UCUGAAAUGGUUAAAUAAAGGAUAAACUACACUAGCCCAGUAAGGAUAUCGCACUAUAUCACCGGCACAGAAAUAAAGGUUGGUAUAAAAUCGAAAACCACUAAUGGAGCAUUAAAUUUAAUAAAUUCAUUUAUCAAUCAUAAAAUCAUUUCUCGUUCACUUGUCAUAGUGAAAUUUAUGAAAAUAACCUAUAAAAAUAAUAAUACCAUACAGAUCAUAUCUUCAUGAACAAUCAGCAACGUAGAAUAUAUUAUAAUUCCAUAUCCAUUAACAAUAAACCAAACCAUAACUGUUUCUCUUUUCACCAGCCUACUAGUAUCCAUGGGGUUCAUAGGGAUGUCCCCGCUAUACGUGAACCAUUUCCUUUAACAAUUUCAAUUACAGGCUGUCCCCAUACCCCGUUCGGUAUGAGUGUCGAAUCAUUAAAGCUUAAUACCCCGUCUGGUAUGAGGGUAAAGCGGACCUUCCCCAUACCCCGUUCGGUAUUAGCACUAAAUUAUUCAGUCUUCAUACCCCGUCCAGUAUGAGAUAACAUUCACGGUAGGGUUCCCUAUGUACCUAGUCCGUCCACUUUCUCCCAAGAUAUCUGGUAAGGCUGUCGUUCUAUCUGUUUAUUUAAUCACACCACUUUUCCCUUUUUCUUUAGUCUCUAUUUCCAAAUCAAACAUAAUUACAUAAGCAAAUAAACAUGCAUUAGGUAAUGCAAUCAUGUCUCAAAUCCCAAAUCAAACAGUAGUCACGUAAGACAGCAAUUCAUGCAUUCAAACCCUGAAAUAAAUCGAUAAGACACUAUCAUGCUUUUCGAUUAUAGAAUACAU